ACCGCAAGGCCUCACGCGAUUGGGUUGGCCGAUGUCCGAUUAGCUAGUUGGCGGGGUAAGAGCCCACCAAGGCGAUGAUCGGUAGCUGGUCUGAGAGGAUGAUCAGCCACACUGGGACUGAGACACGGCCCAGACUCCUACGGGAGGCAGCAGUGGGGAAUUUUGGACAAUGGGGGCAACCCUGAUCCAGCCAUUCCGCGUGAGUGAAGAAGGCCUUCGGGUUGUAAAGCUCUUUUGUCCGGAACGAAACGGGUAGGUCUAAUAAGCCUGCCUACUGACGGUACCGGAAGAAUAAGCACCGGCUAACUACGUGCCAGCAGCCGCGGUAAU
RNAcentral lists this ribosomal RNA (330 nucleotides) under uncultured bacterium. Its description in RNAcentral is "bacterial SSU rRNA". It matches the Rfam family "Bacterial small subunit ribosomal RNA", at positions 199 to 524 of the family's 1533-position model. The record is from RNAcentral.